Molecule: ribosomal RNA, 506 nt
Filed under: uncultured bacterium
Lineage: Bacteria
Description: partial 16S ribosomal RNA
Rfam family: Bacterial small subunit ribosomal RNA
Source: RNAcentral
AUUGAACGCUGGCGGCAGGCCUAACACAUGCAAGUCGAACGGUAACAGGAAGCAGCUUGCUGCUUCGCUGACGAGUGGCGGACGGGUGAGUAAUGUCUGGGAAACUGCCCGAUGGAGGGGGAUAACUACUGGAAACGGUAGCCAAUACCGCAUAACGUCGCAAGAACAAAGAGGGGGACCUUCGGGCCUAUUGCCAUCGGAUGUGCCCAGAUGGGAUUAGCUUGUUGGUGAGGUAACGGCUCAACAAGGCGACGAUCCCUAGCUGGUCUGAGAGGAUGACCAGCCACACUGGAACUGAGAUACGGUCCAGACUCCUACGGGAGGCAGCAGUGGGGAAUAUUGCACAAUGGGCGCAAGCCUGAUGCAGCCAUGCCGCGUGUAUGAAGAAGGCCUUCGGGUUGUAAAGUACUUUCGGCGGGGAGGAAGGUGUUGUGGUUAAUAACCGCAGCAAUUGACGUUACCCGCAGAAGAAGCACCGGCUAACUCCGUGCCAGCCGCCGCCGUAA